AAAACUUUCAACAACGGAUCUCUUGGUUCCGGCAUCGAUGAAGAACGCAGCGAAAUGCGAUACGUAAUGUGAAUUGCAAAUUCAGUGAAUCAUCGAGUCUUUGAACGCACAUUGCGCCCCCUGGUAUUCCGGGGGGCAUGCCUGUCCGAGCGUCAUUU
Molecule: ribosomal RNA, 158 nt
Filed under: Penicillium chrysogenum
Lineage: Eukaryota; Fungi; Ascomycota; Eurotiomycetes; Eurotiales; Aspergillaceae
Also listed under: 6 other names
Description: 5.8S ribosomal RNA
Rfam family: 5.8S ribosomal RNA
About the family: 5.8S ribosomal RNA (5.8S rRNA) is a component of the large subunit of the eukaryotic ribosome.
Source: RNAcentral